Molecule: ribosomal RNA, 296 nt
Filed under: uncultured verrucomicrobium 200ev
Lineage: Bacteria; Pseudomonadati; Verrucomicrobiota
Description: partial 16S ribosomal RNA
Rfam family: Bacterial small subunit ribosomal RNA
Source: RNAcentral
GAGUUUGAUCCUGGCUCAGAACGAACGCUGGCGGCGUGGAUAAGACAUGCAAGUCGAACGGGAUUAAAUGGGUAGCAAUAUUCGUUUGAUUCAGUGGCAAACGGGUGCGUAACACGUGGGAAUUAACCCGGAAGUGGGGGAUAGCUUGCCGAAAGGCAAGGUAAUACCGCAUGUGGUCGAAAGACUAAAGUGGGGGACCGCAAGGCCUCACGUUUCCGGACAAGCCCGCGGCCUAUCAGCUAGUUGGUGAGGUAAAAGCUCACCAAGGCUAUGACGGGUAGCUGGUCUGAGAGGAC